Molecule: ribosomal RNA, 459 nt
Filed under: Arthrobacter sp.
Lineage: Bacteria; Bacillati; Actinomycetota; Actinomycetes; Micrococcales; Micrococcaceae
Description: bacterial SSU rRNA
Rfam family: Bacterial small subunit ribosomal RNA
Source: RNAcentral
AGUUUGAUCAUGGCUCAGGAUGAACGCUGGCGGCGUGCUUAACACAUGCAAGUCGAACGAUGAUCCCAGCUUGCUGGGGGAUUAGUGGCGAACGGGUGAGUAACACGUGAGUAACCUGCCCUUGACUCUGGGAUAAGCCUGGGAAACUGGGUCUAAUACCGGAUACGACCAUCUGGCGCAUGUCAUGGUGGUGGAAAGCUUUUGUGGUUUUGGAUGGACUCGCGGCCUAUCAGCUUGUUGGUGGGGUAAUGGCCUACCAAGGCGACGACGGGUAGCCGGCCUGAGAGGGUGACCGGCCACACUGGGACUGAGACACGGCCCAGACUCCUACGGGAGGCAGCAGUGGGGAAUAUUGCACAAUGGGCGCAAGCCUGAUGCAGCGACGCCGCGUGAGGGAUGACGGCCUUCGGGUUGUAAACCUCUUCAGUAGGGAAGAAGCGCCGGCUAACUACGUGCCAG